Long non-coding RNA from Gallus gallus (chicken), 1935 nucleotides. Lineage: Eukaryota; Metazoa; Chordata; Aves; Galliformes; Phasianidae. The record is from Ensembl.
UUCCAUGGAAGUAAACAGGAGGCAUUACUUUUGGAGCAACCUACACAAUUGCUAUGCUAAGCACUGAGGAAUUAGUGGUUCUUGUAGUCCAGAAACUCAGGAAGACAUUCGUGUUUAGUAGGGCGAGGUUCAAACUAGCAGUAACGAUGAUUCUCCUGGUAACAGUUGGUACCAUGUAUGGUAAAAAUGAACAUAAGAUGCUUGAAUAUCUUCAAGUGAUUUAUAUGCAGUUGGUCCAUAUAAGGUGGAAAGUAUUUGUUCUUUACCAUAUGCUACUGCGAUCCCUAUGCAUCUCUGUAAGGCAGUGUAUGUAAUGACAAAACUAAAAGGUCAGCCACCUUGCACUGUGUUACUACUUUUCUUAACCCUUCAUCUUCUCCAGCUGUGAAGGAGAUGACCUAGUUACUGGAAAAUGAUUUGAAACCCCUGUGUGAAGCCAGCAAAGGAGAGAGAAAUUCCAAGGGUGUAUUUGCUAAACUAAGCUGAUCAUACUGCUUUCAGGGCUGUACUGUAUGAAAUUGCUAGUAUUGGCUCUCCUUUUCCUUGAAUUUUCUGUGCACUCAAACUUGACUUUUAAAAGAGAAAUUCAUUAGAACUGUUUUCUAUUGCGUAGCGAACAUUUUCCAUUGACAGCUUCAUCAACAUGAUUUGUCUUCAGCCUGUUUCCUCAUCCAAAUUGUUCUGGUAGUGAUAUGUAAAAUUAAGUUGUAUCCAAACUUUUCUUUUAAUUUUAUUAUUCAAUCAUUUUCAAACCCUUAUGUGUAAUUAAGUCACUGAACCGUAAGAAACCUUAAGAACUUACCUUGUGACUCACAGACUGCAGCUAUGCUUGGGAAUUCUAAAAAGUAAAUGACUCCAAUAAACAUUUAAUUUAAAUUUAGUAAUGGAUACAGAAAUGUUUAGGGAUGUUAAACUGUAUAUUGGAGGAAGGAAAAGCUAUUAACUCAAGUAAUGCAGUUGGUUUAGCAGAAAUUAAAGACCCAAAUAUGUGAAUGUUAAUUGGUGUUCACAUUUCCAGAUCAAUGCUAAAGUAAUUAGGUUACUAUUUAAAAGGUCAAAAUAACAUCACCAAAAUAUAUAAUGUAAGUAUUGAAAAGUUAUGAAAUAAGUGUAGCUUAAAUAAAUGCAUUUUAUAUAAUAGAAUAAAAAAUGUUGGUUUAGUAAUACAUAAGACAGCGUGCACUAAAAAUCCUUUAUGCAUGUUCCAAAAUAGUGGGUUUUUUCAAGGCCAUAAACAUCUUAGGGCAUAAGCUCAAUUUGUAUUUUUGAAGGACCCCAAUAGUUUUAGGGUUUUGUAUAAUUUCAACUACUUAUCAUUCUUCCUGUUUGGCUGAAAAAGAGAAAAGACAAAGGAGAUAAAUGUUCUUCUUUUGGGGAUCUGCUGAUAAAAUGAAAUAAAGUUAUUGAGUGAGUUUUUCAGAGGUGUCUUCAGAGAAGGAAAGAGACAGCAAGCAAAUGAAACAUUUGUCAUGGACUGCAGGAGAAUGGAGAGACAGAUGGCUCAAUAGACCUUAUCUACACUGCUUCCGACUUUAUGCCCUCCUUACUGAGUGCCAUGUUUCUGCAAAGCGGUUUGUGCUGCAGAGCCAGGAUCCAGAAACUCAGCAGCUCAUUGCUCAGUGAUCUUUGGAGUCCCAACUCGUAGCUCAAGCUCUUGAAAAUACAGACUCUGUGAAAUCCAUUUCUCAGUUGAAGUUUGUAUUUCAAACAUUUGUAGAGUUCACGUCCGUUUUAAUAUCUUGUAAUAAAUGAUUAUCAGUGCCUUAAUACAUCACAUGCUAAUGCCAACAAAGAGCGCUCAUUAAUGUUCCUUAAUGAGGUUCAGAAAACAUGGAGGGGUGGUUUGCAGUUAGUGUAUGGAUGUUUAAAAGGAGCAGGAGCUCUGUAUGAAUAUCAAAGACAGCCUGAGGGAAAUAAAAGAAUUGCAAGCUGUAA